UACGAAGGGGGCUAGCGUUGCUCGGAAUUACUGGGCGUAAAGCGCACGUAGGCGGAUUGUUAAGUCGGGGGUGAAAUCCUGGAGCUCAACUCCAGAACUGCCUUCGAUACUGGCGAUCUCGAGUUCGGGAGAGGUGAGUGGAACUGCGAGUGUAGAGGUGAAAUUCGUAGAUAUUCGCAAGAACACCAGUGGCGAAGGCGGCUCACUGGCCCGAUACUGACGCUGAGGCACGAAAGCGUGGGGAGCGAACAGG
This 253-nucleotide ribosomal RNA is filed under the name uncultured bacterium. RNAcentral's name for it is "partial 16S ribosomal RNA". It matches the Rfam family "Bacterial small subunit ribosomal RNA", at positions 524 to 776 of the family's 1533-position model. The record is from RNAcentral.